Molecule: long non-coding RNA, 200 nt
Filed under: Elaeis guineensis (African oil palm)
Lineage: Eukaryota; Viridiplantae; Streptophyta; Magnoliopsida; Arecales; Arecaceae
Description: long non-coding RNA (EGUI_LNC069349)
Source: RNAcentral
GGCGAUCUUCAGUCCUGCAAUCAGAGCUUCAUGUUCUGCUCCAUUAUUUAUCGCAGGGAAUUCGAAGCGCAGUGCAUACUCCAUGAUAAUUCCUUCCGAAUUGACCAAGAUCAGGCCCACGUCCGUGCCUGACAUGUUGGAGGAACCAUCCACGUAGAGGGUCCAAAAACCAUCAGGGAGAUCUGUUCUUUUCUCAGGGG